RNAcentral lists this ribosomal RNA (500 nucleotides) under uncultured bacterium. Its description in RNAcentral is "partial 16S ribosomal RNA". It matches the Rfam family "Bacterial small subunit ribosomal RNA", at positions 30 to 523 of the family's 1533-position model. The record is from RNAcentral.
AUUGAACGCUGGCGGCAGGCCUAACACAUGCAAGUCGAGCGGAUUUUGGGGGCUUGCUCCCAAGGUUAGCGGCGGACGGGUGAGUAACGCGUAGGAAUUUGCCCAGUAGUGGGGGAUAACGUUCCGAAAGGAACGCUAAUACCGCAUACGCCCCAUGGGGGAAAGCAGGGGAUCUUCGGACCUUGCGCUAUUGGAGAAGCCUGCGUCGGACAAGCUAGUUGGUAGGGUAAAGGCCGACCAAGGCGACGAUCCGUAGCUGGUCUGAGAGGAUGAUCAGCCACACUGGGACUGAGACACGGCCCAGACUCCUACGGGAGGCAGCAGUGGGGAAUAUUGGACAAUGGGGGCAACCCUGAUCCAGCCAUGCCGCGUGUGUGAAGAAGGCCUUCGGGUUGUAAAGCACUUUCAGUAGGGAGGAAAAGUUGGCGGCUAAUAUCCGUUGACCCUGACGUUACCUACAGAAGAAGCACCGGCAAACUCCGUGCCAGCAGCCGCGGUAA